CCUACGGGAGGCAGCAGUGGGGAAUAUUGGACAAUGGGGGGAACCCUGAUCCAGCGACGCCGCGUGAGUGAAGAAGUAUUUCGGUAUGUAAAGCUCUAUCAGCAGGGAAGAAAGAAAUGACGGUACCUGACUAAGAAGCCCCGGCUAACUACGUGCCAGCAGCCGCGGUAAUACGUAUGGAGCAAGCGUUAUCCGGAUUUACUGGGCGUAAAGGGAGCGUAGGCGGCAUGCCAAGUCUGAUGUGAAAUACCGGGGCUCAACCCCGUGGCUGCAUUGGAAACUGGCAGGCUGGAGUGCCGGAGAGGCAGGCGGAAUUCCUAGUGUAGCGGUGAAAUGCGUAGAUAUUAGGAGGAACACCAGUGGCGAAGGCGGCCUGCUGGACGGUGACUGACGCUGAGGCUCGAAAGCGUGGGGAGCAAACAGGAUUAGAUACCCGAGUAGUC
This 443-nucleotide ribosomal RNA is filed under the name uncultured bacterium. RNAcentral describes it as "partial 16S ribosomal RNA". It matches the Rfam family "Bacterial small subunit ribosomal RNA", at positions 338 to 795 of the family's 1533-position model. The record is from RNAcentral.